Non-coding RNA from Danionella cerebrum, 71 nucleotides. The record is from the annotation of a GenBank genome assembly. NCBI's taxonomy places the organism in Eukaryota, Metazoa, Chordata, Actinopteri, Cypriniformes, Danionidae.
UUUCUGUGGCUAAGUUGGUAGAGCAUCGCUCUAAAAAUGCAAAGGUCGUGGGUUUCAAAUCCCAGGGAAAG